This 1315-nucleotide ribosomal RNA is filed under the name Salmonella enterica subsp. enterica serovar Enteritidis. Its description in RNAcentral is "partial 23S ribosomal RNA". It matches the Rfam family "Bacterial large subunit ribosomal RNA", at positions 1554 to 2845 of the family's 2925-position model. Lineage: Bacteria; Pseudomonadati; Pseudomonadota; Gammaproteobacteria; Enterobacterales; Enterobacteriaceae. The record is from RNAcentral.
CACUGAGGCGUGACGACGAGGCACUACGGUGCUGAAGCAACAAAUGCCCUGCUUCCAGGAAAAGCCUCUAAGCAUCAGGUAACAUCAAAUCGUACCCCAAACCGACACAGGUGGUCAGGUAGAGAAUACCAAGGCGCUUGAGAGAACUCGGGUGAAGGAACUAGGCAAAAUGGUGCCGUAACUUCGGGAGAAGGCACGCUGACACGUAGGUGAAGUGAUUUACUCAUGGAGCUGAAGUCAGUCGAAGAUACCAGCUGGCUGCAACUGUUUAUUAAAAACACAGCACUGUGCAAACACGAAAGUGGACGUAUACGGUGUGACGCCUGCCCGGUGCCGGAAGGUUAAUUGAUGGGGUCAGCGCAAGCGAAGCUCCUGAUCGAAGCCCCGGUAAACGGCGGCCGUAACUAUAACGGUCCUAAGGUAGCGAAAUUCCUUGUCGGGUAAGUUCCGACCUGCACGAAUGGCGUAAUGAUGGCCAGGCUGUCUCCACCCGAGACUCAGUGAAAUUGAACUCGCUGUGAAGAUGCAGUGUACCCGCGGCAAGACGGAAAGACCCCGUGAACCUUUACUAUAGCUUGACACUGAACAUUGAGCCUUGAUGUGUAGGAUAGGUGGGAGGCUUUGAAGUGUGGACGCCAGUCUGCAUGGAGCCGACCUUGAAAUACCACCCUUUAAUGUUUGAUGUUCUAACGUGGACCCGUUACCCGGGUUGCGGACAGUGUCUGGUGGGUAGUUUGACUGGGGCGGUCUCCUCCUAAAGAGUAACGGAGGAGCACGAAGGUUGGCUAAUCCUGGUCGGACAUCAGGAGGUUAGUGCAAUGGCAUAAGCCAGCUUGACUGCGAGCGUGACGGCGCGAGCAGGUGCGAAAGCAGGUCAUAGUGAUCCGGUGGUUCUGAAUGGAAGGGCCAUCGCUCAACGGAUAAAAGGUACUCCGGGGAUAACAGGCUGAUACCGCCCAAGAGUUCAUAUCGACGGCGGUGUUUGGCACCUCGAUGUCGGCUCAUCACAUCCUGGGGCUGAAGUAGGUCCCAAGGGUAUGGCUGUUCGCCAUUUAAAGUGGUACGCGAGCUGGGUUUAGAACGUCGUGAGACAGUUCGGUCCCUAUCUGCCGUGGGCGCUGGAGAACUGAGGGGGGCUGCUCCUAGUACGAGAGGACCGGAGUGGACGCAUCACUGGUGUUCGGGUUGUCAUGCCAAUGGCACUGCCCGGUAGCUAAAUGCGGAAGAGAUAAGUGCUGAAAGCAUCUAAGCACGAAACUUGCCCCGAGAUGAGUUCUCCCUGAGACUUUAGGUCUCCUGAAGGAACGUUGAAGAC